RNAcentral lists this ribosomal RNA (688 nucleotides) under Acinetobacter baumannii. Its description in RNAcentral is "partial 23S ribosomal RNA". It matches the Rfam family "Bacterial large subunit ribosomal RNA", at positions 1137 to 1851 of the family's 2925-position model. The record is from RNAcentral. Lineage: Bacteria; Pseudomonadati; Pseudomonadota; Gammaproteobacteria; Moraxellales; Moraxellaceae.
AUAGCUCACUAGUCAAGAGAUCCUGCGCCGAAGAUGUCCGGGGCUCAAACUUACCACCGAAGCUAUGGAUUCAAUAGAAUGGUAGAGGAGCUUCCUGUAUGGGUAGAAGUCGUAUCGUAAGAAGCGGUGGACUGUACAGGAGUGAGUAUGCUGGCAUGAGUAGCGAGAAAUAAGUGAGAAUCUUAUUGGUCGAAAACCUAAGGUUUCCUGAGGAAGGUUCGUCCGCUCAGGGUUAGUCGGGACCUAAGCCCAGGCCGAAAGGCGUAGGUGAUGGACAAUCGGUUGAUAUUCCGAUACCGCCAACUUUCGUUUGACAAAUGGGGUGACACAGAAGGAUAAGGUAUGCACACUAUUGGAUGUGUGUCUAAGCACUUAGGCGUGCUUGAUUGGCAAAUCCGUCAAGCUAAGCUGAGGUGUUAUGGGGAGCCUAUUUUGGCGAAGUGCCUGAUUCCACACUGUCAAGAAAAGCCUCUAUGGAGAAUGUUGGUGCCCGUACCGCAAACCGACACAGGUAGGUGAGGAGAGAAUCCUAAGACCAUCGGAAGAAUUGCUGUUAAGGAACUAGGCAAAUUGACCCCGUAACUUCGGGAGAAGGGGUGCCAUGGAAACAUGGCCGCAGUGAAUAGGCCCAAGCAACUGUUUAGCAAAAACACAGGUCUCUGCUAAAGCGAAAGCUGAUGUAUAGGGG